This 72-nucleotide transfer RNA is filed under the name Chelonia mydas (Green sea turtle). It matches the Rfam family "tRNA". From Rfam's summary of the family: Transfer RNA (tRNA) molecules are approximately 80 nucleotides in length. Lineage: Eukaryota; Metazoa; Chordata; Testudines; Cheloniidae. The record is from Rfam by way of RNAcentral.
GGAAGUGUGGUCUAGUCGGUAGGGCACUGGACUGGGAGUCAGGAGAACUGGAUUCUGUUCCCAGCACUGCCA